RNAcentral lists this long non-coding RNA (284 nucleotides) under Mytilus galloprovincialis (Mediterranean mussel). The record is from RNAcentral. Lineage: Eukaryota; Metazoa; Mollusca; Bivalvia; Mytilida; Mytilidae.
UGGGGUAAAGCUGAUGACCGUAACUGCAUUCACGGUCAUCCCAAAAUGUCGGAUGAAAAAUUAGGUCAGUUUCUGUAUCGUCUGUUAAAGUGUUUCUGUAUCAUUUUCUUUACAAAUCAUACAUUGAAACGAUGUAAAUUUAUAAAAGAAUCACUCGGAAAUCACCAAUUACUUCUGAGAAAUGUGCAUGAAACGGGAAAUUCGAUUUGAAAAAAUCGCCAAGAUGACCGUAAAUCACAAUCGAGAUGACCGUAACAGAAUCAGCGAUUCAUAACAAGGCUGAC